RNAcentral lists this ribosomal RNA (1409 nucleotides) under Staphylococcus pseudoxylosus. RNAcentral's name for it is "bacterial SSU rRNA". It matches the Rfam family "Bacterial small subunit ribosomal RNA". Lineage: Bacteria; Bacillati; Bacillota; Bacilli; Caryophanales; Staphylococcaceae. The record is from RNAcentral.
CGAGCGAACAGAUAAGGAGCUUGCUCCUUUGACGUUAGCGGCGGACGGGUGAGUAACACGUGGGUAACCUACCUAUAAGACUGGGAUAACUUCGGGAAACCGGAGCUAAUACCGGAUAACAUUUGGAACCGCAUGGUUCUAAAGUGAAAGAUGGUUUUGCUAUCACUUAUAGAUGGACCCGCGCCGUAUUAGCUAGUUGGUAAGGUAACGGCUUACCAAGGCGACGAUACGUAGCCGACCUGAGAGGGUGAUCGGCCACACUGGAACUGAGACACGGUCCAGACUCCUACGGGAGGCAGCAGUAGGGAAUCUUCCGCAAUGGGCGAAAGCCUGACGGAGCAACGCCGCGUGAGUGAUGAAGGGUUUCGGCUCGUAAAACUCUGUUAUUAGGGAAGAACAAAUGUGUAAGUAACUGUGCACGUCUUGACGGUACCUAAUCAGAAAGCCACGGCUAACUACGUGCCAGCAGCCGCGGUAAUACGUAGGUGGCAAGCGUUAUCCGGAAUUAUUGGGCGUAAAGCGCGCGUAGGCGGUUUCUUAAGUCUGAUGUGAAAGCCCACGGCUCAACCGUGGAGGGUCAUUGGAAACUGGGAAACUUGAGUGCAGAAGAGGAAAGUGGAAUUCCAUGUGUAGCGGUGAAAUGCGCAGAGAUAUGGAGGAACACCAGUGGCGAAGGCGACUUUCUGGUCUGUAACUGACGCUGAUGUGCGAAAGCGUGGGGAUCAAACAGGAUUAGAUACCCUGGUAGUCCACGCCGUAAACGAUGAGUGCUAAGUGUUAGGGGGUUUCCGCCCCUUAGUGCUGCAGCUAACGCAUUAAGCACUCCGCCUGGGGAGUACGACCGCAAGGUUGAAACUCAAAGGAAUUGACGGGGACCCGCACAAGCGGUGGAGCAUGUGGUUUAAUUCGAAGCAACGCGAAGAACCUUACCAAAUCUUGACAUCCUUUGAAAACUCUAGAGAUAGAGCUUUCCCCUUCGGGGGACAAAGUGACAGGUGGUGCAUGGUUGUCGUCAGCUCGUGUCGUGAGAUGUUGGGUUAAGUCCCGCAACGAGCGCAACCCUUAAGCUUAGUUGCCAUCAUUAAGUUGGGCACUCUAGGUUGACUGCCGGUGACAAACCGGAGGAAGGUGGGGAUGACGUCAAAUCAUCAUGCCCCUUAUGAUUUGGGCUACACACGUGCUACAAUGGACAAUACAAAGGGCAGCUAAACCGCGAGGUCAUGCAAAUCCCAUAAAGUUGUUCUCAGUUCGGAUUGUAGUCUGCAACUCGACUACAUGAAGCUGGAAUCGCUAGUAAUCGUAGAUCAGCAUGCUACGGUGAAUACGUUCCCGGGUCUUGUACACACCGCCCGUCACACCACGAGAGUUUGUAACACCCGAAGCCGGUGGAGUAACCAUUUAUGGAGCUA